Amphiprion ocellaris (clown anemonefish) is the source of this 881-nucleotide long non-coding RNA. Lineage: Eukaryota; Metazoa; Chordata; Actinopteri; Pomacentridae. The record is from Ensembl.
CGGGACUACUUGAUUGACAAUCUGGUCUGGAAUGAUUGACAGGUCCUAUGGAGGAAGCAGCAGAGACUCUGCUCUCCUCGUUUGGAUUAAUUCUGAUAUAAUAACUGUUGGUUUAUUUAUCAGUGGAGCAGCACAACAUUUUCCACAGACAGUUUUCCUGCCCGUUGGCUUGUUUUAACCAGUUUUCUACCUUCGGCUGAUUCUACCAGCAGACACUGAAAGGACUCUGAUAGUUCGAGUGAAAGUAGCAAUUCCUCCUUAAGGUCAGAGAUUGCAGCAUCUGAGGGCCUCUUCAAAAGAAGACAUAGUUGAUGAAGGUGUUCUGGAGCAGGACCAGAAAGACCACGACCAAGCAGCCUUGAGAUCUUAGGCAGCAUCUCCCUCAGACAUCCACCAACCACUGGAACACAUCUCCAAAGUUCUGCUGGGCCAGCUCAGCUUCCCGUCAGAAGAAGUGCAGCCACCUGCCAGAUGAAGGAGCCUUUUGAGAGGCAGCUGGCAUCGUGAUUGGACUGUACUUUGGUCUGUUCCAAUCCAGCUUCAGUUCCAGAGACGGCAGGCGGGACGAGUCAACGGAGGCCGGGUGGACGAAGGCAUGAAGCUGAGUACAAUCCAGAAAACAACAGAGGAGGAGAGCAGCGGCCAGAACAAACAGAGUAGCAUGGUAUGUCUCUUAGAAAACAUCAUAGUAUAGCCUUUGGGAUGAAAAAACGCCAUCAUAUACAUCGUAUAUUGUACAAAUAACAAGUCAAAGGAAAGAGACAUACAUUGUAGAAUUGUAGUAAUUGUGGGCUGACUGAUUUACUGAUUAUCAGUAUUUUAUUUUUUACUGAUUUAUGGUAAUAAAUACAUUUAAAAAUGGUGCUUCUUUGUCUCUGAAC